GGAUGAAAAUCUUCAAACUGCUCGAUAUCUAAAUGUUCUAUUGACAAUAAGAAUUGUUCUAAAUGCUGGUAAAAAUGACCGCACAUGGUCAUUAUUGCAGUAUCUGGUUAGCUAGUCUAUAUUGAUUUUGCCAGGAUAUGUUAAAUCGCUCAGGUUUACAAAUACAUACCUUCACAACAGCAUCUUCUGGUUUAUCCUGGAGAUGAACGACAAUGAAAGUCAUGAUUACACAUUAUAAACAGACAAAUAAACCUAUUCAACUUGUACAAUAUAUAGAAAAUACAGAAGGGAAGGCCCGAUAAUGCUGCUGAUAAUGAUAUUAACAUUGCAAAUUCCAAUGUUAGGGGGCCAAGCAUCGAAGCUGGGUAAGCAAGUCUACCUUUUCUUCUUCUUAUUAUUAUUAUUAUUAUUAUGCAUCGUUGGGCCAAGUAGGAAAGCAUUUGUCUGUGACAGCCAGUUGCAAUUGGUGGUGAAGCUGUCAAACAGGCAAGUAAUGCCAUAUCUUAGUAAGUAAAUUGUCACAACACUUGCUAGGCAUGCUUACAACCAUGCCCCUGACAUGCUGACAUUAAAUUGCCAUGGCACUGUAUGGAAUUACAUAAAAAACCUUGUUUUCAGUUUUCAGCCUUUUCAGACCUUCACUAAAUCCCUUCCCUAGAUCGUUAGAGAAAUGUUUAUCGGAUGAAUUUUUUAUUUCCCAAACACUCUGUCCAUUACAACCUAUCAAGUUCAGUAGCAAAGCCACCGAACAGGAAGUGAGCUUAUAUCUCAGCCAAUUUGUGGUCAAUUGACAUGCUUGCUGUGAGUGCUUAUAGCCAUGUUCUUCACACAAUGACAUCAGGUCUCCAAGGCAACUAUGCCCUGCUGGACUGAUUGGCCCCCUCGUUGCUGCUCACUGUCUAAUUGUACGCACAUGCUCUGGAUCCUGGGAGUCUUUAGUUUUCAUAUUGAAGAUUAACUGGAACAGGUCCUUCAGGUCAAUGACUAAAGGUUCUGCCUGAGGAGGGAAAAAAAUACAAAUGUAAACAACCUAUUUGCAUUUACUGUUCUGACAUGCAUAAUGUAGUUAAGGCCAACCAAGUUGACCAGUAGUCAUAAUGUAAUGUAUACUGGCUGCUUAAUAGAUAGAUAGAUAGAUAGAUAGAUAGAUGGAUACUUUAUUAAUCCCGAAGGAAAUUUAGGUCAUCCAGUAGCUUAUACACUUAACUUAACUCACAAACAUACAUACACAAAUCACAGUAGAAUCACAGUAGAAAAACAAUACACAUAGGGAGAACAUGUUCACAGGGAGUGGGGUGUAUACAGAUAUUAUAUAGAUAUUACAGUGUGCAAAAAUUGGUUGUGUCAGUGUUGAUGUUCACGAGGAAAGUAGUGCAAAGAGUGCAGAGAGAUAGUGUUCAUGUGCUUGUGUGGAUAGUGCAAGGAUUGAGUACUUGUGCUUGUGUGUGUGAGGAUAGUGCAAAGUGAUAUAAAUAGUACAGUCUGUGCGAUGGGCUAGUAUAGCCAGUAAAAGAGUAAAAAGAUAAAAAGAUGGACAGUGGGAUGGAAAAAUUAAAAGCUGAGAAGAGGAGGGGAGACUGAGGUAGACUCAUGCAGAGUAGUCCAUCUCCCUCCCCCUCCCCUUCUGCGUGGCGUUGUAGAGUUGUAUUGCCCUGGGGACAAAGGACUUUCUCAGCCUGUCCGAUGAGCAUGACAGUGACAGGAGUCUGCCACUGAAAAUGCUCCUCUGUCCGUUAAGAGUACUGUGUAGUGGGUGGUGGUAAUAGAAUGGUAGCAAAUGGUAAAGGUGUGAUCAAAAGCAGAGCAGAGCAGAGCCAGGCAGAAGUUAGUGAAAGGUUUGCUUAAAGCUGACCAUUGUUGACCCUUGUUGGGCAAUCCCUUUAAAAUGAAUGCGGCAGACGAGAUUACAAUGUAAGAAGAUACUAAUAUGGCUAUGGGUUCUGGACAGUUUGUCAGACCUGUUUUAAAAUUGCCCUUCCACAUCCCUUAAAGUAAACUGACUGUUAUGUUGUUAUUUACUGUGUGAUUUUGAGCCUGUGAAAUAAAACUCACUUAGAUUCCAUACGAUUCCAAUUUAUUUCAUACAUUUUAUUUUUGUAAAUAUAUUACAAUGUAAAAUGUCCAAACAUAUGUAACAUAUUCAAUGUAAUAAUCUGUUUGUUUAAUGGAACACAUUAGCAACUUUGGAGUUUUAAAUGUUAUAAUAAUAUAAUAAUUAUCUGAAGUCUAUCUGUCUAGCUUGUUUUAUUUGACUGUGUAGGCUACCUGUCAUUUUAAUAUUAACCUAGAUAUUGGAUAUUAGGCUACAUAUAAAUUGAGCUGUUAGGAGAAGGUGGGACUUUUAACUUAACUUAGUGAAUAUGUUUAGUUUGUACAGAUGAAGUAUUGUAUUCAAUAUGAACUAGCAUAUGGAUUGAAGUUGCUGGGUGAAAUAGCAACCCAAAUGGCUGGAUUCGGAAAAAGCUGAGGUGGCAUUUCUUCUGUUUUACUCAACUUAAGACUACAAUAUGUGAAUAGAAAUUAUGAUGAAUGUCAUUAUUGUAUAUGUACAUCAUGGAUGACAUUCAUUAACUGCUUACUGAGCAUUCAAUUCAGGUCUCAACUCAAUUAGACUACCUCUUCCCAGACACUCGAGUCUUUCAAGGGGUUUAACCUUUUAGAACAAACAUUUCCUUCUUUCUUUAAAAGCAUACCAGGAUAUAUGUUAACUUCGAGGGUAUCCGAAAGGCACCAAAUAAAUGUGCAAUUGUGAAUAAAUACUAAUACUUUCCUCACUAGGGCCACCAAGAUAAUGUAAGUGCAAUGGGUUCUAUCUAGUGAUGGGCAAAUGAAGCUUUGGUGAAGCAUUGAACCAUUAGGCACAUUGUUUCAAAAAUCGGUUAAUUACUUGAAGCUUCAGUAACAGUGACCUCUCCUGGUGAUGUGCCAAGGCUGCAACUAAAUUAGCCCAGCUAGACAGUGGCACGAAUCUUUAAAACAAUGACAAUCUGGUGUGCACGCACCAAAUCCCCCCCCCCCCCUCCCCCCACACACACACACUCACACACACACAUGCACCCGUAUACAAAGAUUGUGAUAUAAUUAUUUUUUUUACAAAUAAAGAUUCAUUAUUUUUUGUAUAUUGUGUUAAAGAGAGAGUGCUUGGGGAAAGGAUGUGCUGGACAAAUAUGGCACAAGUUGGGUGUGCUUGUGUAACCAUGUUGGAUAGGGAACAGUCAAAGAUUUUGAUUUAAAAACAUUAUUUGUUCUACACUUUUUGGACUGAGCCUGUUGAUAUAGUCUACUUUUCCUAUAGCCUAAAUAUUUAACAGCCAGCGCACCUUAUCAUGAGCGAUCAGAAUAAAGUGUUCCCACAUGUCAGAACGACCUCUCUUCCUAGAUGCUUUCAUAAUGAUGAUAAAAUCAAUACGAACGUAAUGACUGUCACAGAAUGAGAUAGGCUACUACGAACCAAACGCAAUGUUGUGCGCGGAAGUUUUUUUGCUUUGAAGGUGCUACAAUUCAGACUCAAAACGAGGCAACUGACUGUUUCGUGUGUGGCGCUGUGAACCACUCAGCUGGUUCAUUCGGAGAAAGAAGCAGUUGCUGUUUCGCACGUAAUAUGUCACGUGAUUUUUCCGUACCAAAGCAACCUUCGAAGCAGUGGUUUUAUGGUUGGUGUAGUUUAAGGUAUGAAGCACGUUCCGGCGCUUCAGUGUCAGGCUGCCAUCACUAGUUCUAUCCUCACAUGGACAGCACCAGAUAAUGUAAGAAUGUCUGUGUGUGUCCUCACACAGAAUACAGUGAGCAGUGUUUCCCCUAGGUUUACAGCUUUGGGGGGGGGGGGGGGUUGCGGCACGGUGUGCGGCGUGGCGUGGCCACCGACACAAACGCUUAAAGGAAUCAUGGUGUUCAUGUGUUUCUAUUAAUGACAGCCAGCAGUCAAUAUAACAACUAAACAUCGGAACAUGUCUUUUUAUGACAAUUAUCCACAAAGUGUGCA
Long non-coding RNA from Clupea harengus (Atlantic herring), 3982 nucleotides. The record is from Ensembl. NCBI's taxonomy places the organism in Eukaryota, Metazoa, Chordata, Actinopteri, Clupeiformes, Clupeidae.